GAGGAACGUCCGGGCAACAGAGAGCACCAUACUUCUUAACGGGAAGCUGUCCGCGAGGGUAGAGUUGCGUAACAGAAAACGACCGCCGGAUCUGUCCGGUAAGGGUGAAAAGGUGAGGUAAGAGCUCACCGGAUCUUAUAGUAAUAUAGGAUGCCGUACGUCUUAUGGGUUGUAAGGUCAUGUAUACCGGCGCAUGUAGGAUUGCUCGUCCGAUGCCGGGGGGUAGACCGCUAAAGCUUA
This 240-nucleotide RNase P RNA is filed under the name Parabacteroides johnsonii DSM 18315. RNAcentral describes it as "RNA component of RNase P". It matches the Rfam family "Bacterial RNase P class A", at positions 43 to 288 of the family's 367-position model. From Rfam's summary of the family: Ribonuclease P (RNase P) is a ubiquitous endoribonuclease, found in archaea, bacteria and eukarya as well as chloroplasts and mitochondria. Its best characterised activity is the generation of mature 5'-ends of tRNAs by cleaving the 5'-leader elements of precursor-tRNAs. Cellular RNase Ps are ribonucleoproteins. Lineage: Bacteria; Pseudomonadati; Bacteroidota; Bacteroidia; Bacteroidales; Tannerellaceae. The record is from RNAcentral.